UUAAUUGAAGAGUUUGAUCAUGGCUCAGAUUGAACGCUGGCGGCAGGCCUAACACAUGCAAGUCGAGCGGUAACAGAGAGUAGCUUGCUACUCUGCUGACGAGCGGCGGACGGGUGAGUAAUGCCUGGGAAUUUGCCCAGUUGUGGGGGAUAACAGUUGGAAACGACUGCUAAUACCGCAUAAACCCUACGGGGAAAAGGGGAGGCUCUUCGGACUUCUCGCAAUUGGAUAAGCCCAGGUGGGAUUAGCUAGUAGGUGAGGUAAUGGCUCACCUAGGCGACGAUCCCUAGCUGUUCUGAGAGGAUGAUCAGCCACACUGGAACUGAGACACGGUCCAGACUCCUACGGGAGGCAGCAGUGGGGAAUAUUGCACAAUGGGGGAAACC
Molecule: ribosomal RNA, 386 nt
Filed under: Shewanella sp. OPT22
Lineage: Bacteria; Pseudomonadati; Pseudomonadota; Gammaproteobacteria; Alteromonadales; Shewanellaceae
Description: bacterial SSU rRNA
Rfam family: Bacterial small subunit ribosomal RNA
Source: RNAcentral